RNAcentral lists this ribosomal RNA (506 nucleotides) under uncultured bacterium. Its description in RNAcentral is "partial 16S ribosomal RNA". It matches the Rfam family "Bacterial small subunit ribosomal RNA", at positions 28 to 523 of the family's 1533-position model. The record is from RNAcentral.
GAUGAACGCUAGCUACAGGCUUAACACAUGCAAGUCGAGGGGUAACGAGAGGAAAGCUUGCUUUCCUUGUCGACGACCGGCGCACGGGUGAGUAACGCGUAUCCAACCUGCCCCCAACUAAGGAAUAACCUUGCGAAAGUAAGACUAAUACCUUAUAAUUUCCUCAGAUGACAUCUGACGAGGAAUAAAGAUUUAUCGGUUGUGGAUGGGGAUGCGUCUGAUUAGCUUGUUGGCGGGGUAACGGGCCACCAAGGCAACGAUCAGUAGGGGUUCUGAGAGGAAGGUCCCCAACAUUGGAACUGGUACACGGUCCAAACUCCUACGGGAGGCAGCAGUGAGGAAUAUUUGUCAAUGGGCGGAAGCCUGAACCAGCCAAGUAGCGUGCAGGAUGACGGCCCUAUGGGUUGUAAACUGCUUUUAUACAGGAAUAAAGUUAGCCACGGGUGGUUAUUUGUAGGUACUGUAUGAAUAAGGACCGGCUAAUUCCGUGCCAGCCGCCGCGGUAA